GGAAAACGUUUUAAAGCUCACAGGGCCAUUUUGAGUGCCAGAUCUAGUUAUUUUGCUGCAAUGCUGAGUGGCUGUUGGGCUGAAAGCUCCCAAGAGUAUGUUACUCUUCAAGGUAUAAGCCAUGUAGAACUGAAUGUUAUGAUGCAUUUUAUAUAUGGAGGAACUCUGGACAUUCCAGACAAAACUAAUGUUGGUCAGAUACUCAAUAUGGCUGAUAUGUAUGGACUAGAAGGAUUAAAAGAAGUAGCAAUCUAUAUUUUAAGAAGAGAUUACUGUAAUUUCUUUCAGAAGCCUGUUCCCAGAACAUUGACGUCUAUACUAGAAUGCCUGAUUAUUGCUCAUUCAGUUGGAGUGGAAAGUCUUUUUGCUGACUGCAUGAAGUGGAUUGUAAAGCAUUUUGCAAGAUUUUGGUCUGAGAGAAGCUUUGCAAAUAUACCUCCUGAGAUUCAGAAAAGUUGUCUUAAUAUGUUGAUUCAGUCCUUAUUGUGGGUGGCUGGAGCCUGUCCUUGCAGCUAAGGACCCAAGGUUGGAACCAACCCUGGACAGGAUACCAUUCCAGUGCAGGGUGUACUCACAGCACAGAACACUCACUUAUACUGGGACAUUGUAGAGAUGCCAGUUCACCAAAUGUGCACAUCUUUGGGAUGUGGGAGGAAACUGGAGUGUCCAAAGAAAACCCAUGCAGACAUGGGGAAAACAUGCAAACUCUACACAGACAAUGGCCUGGCCAGGAAUCCUUUUUUCCCUCAUCAACAUUAUAA
This 761-nucleotide small RNA is filed under the name Pongo abelii (Sumatran orangutan). Its description in RNAcentral is "processed transcript". Lineage: Eukaryota; Metazoa; Chordata; Mammalia; Primates; Hominidae. The record is from RNAcentral.